AUUGAACGCUGGCGGCAGGCCUAACACAUGCAAGUCGAACGGUAGCACAGAGAGCUUGCUCUCGGGUGACGAGUGGCGGACGGGUGAGUAAUGUCUGGGAAACUGCCCGAUGGAGGGGGAUAACUACUGGAAACGGUAGCUAAUACCGCAUAACGUCGCAAGACCAAAGUGGGGGACCUUCGGGCCUCACACCAUCGGAUGUGCCCAGAUGGGAUUAGCUAGUGGGUGGGGUAAUGGCUCACCUAGGCGACGAUCCCUAGCUGGUCUGAGAGGAUGACCAGCAACACUGGAACUGAGACACGGUCCAGACUCCUACGGGAGGCAGCAGUGGGGAAUAUUGCACAAUGGGCGCAAGCCUGAUGCAGCCAUGCCGCGUGUAUGAAGAAGGCCUUCGGGUUGUAAAGUACUUUCAGCGGGGAGGAAGGCGGUGAAGUUAAUAGCUUCACCGAUUGACGUUACCCGCAGAAGAAGCACCGGCUAACUCCGUGCCAGCAGCCGCGGUAA
RNAcentral lists this ribosomal RNA (504 nucleotides) under uncultured bacterium. Its description in RNAcentral is "partial 16S ribosomal RNA". It matches the Rfam family "Bacterial small subunit ribosomal RNA", at positions 30 to 523 of the family's 1533-position model. The record is from RNAcentral.